This 434-nucleotide ribosomal RNA is filed under the name uncultured organism. RNAcentral describes it as "bacterial SSU rRNA". It matches the Rfam family "Bacterial small subunit ribosomal RNA", at positions 346 to 794 of the family's 1533-position model. The record is from RNAcentral.
GCGCAGCAGGCGAGAAUUUUUCACAAUGGGGGAAACCCUGAUGGAGCGACGCCGCGUGGAGGAUGAAGGCCUUUUGGUCGUAAACUCCUGUCAAACGGGAACAAGAAAGUGAUAGUACCGUUAGAGGAAGAGGCGGCUAACUCUGUGCCAGCAGCCGCGGUAAUACAGAGGCCUCAAGCGUUGUUCGGAUUCAUUGGGCGUAAAGGGUGCGUAGGUGGCUUGUUAAGUUGAAGGUGAAAUCUCGGGGCUCAACUCCGAAACUGCCUUCAAUACUGGCGAGCUCGAGGAUUGUAGAGGAGAAUGGAAUUCACGGUGUAGCAGUGAAAUGCGUAGAUAUCGUGAGGAAGACCAGUGGCGAAGGCGAUUCUCUGGGCAAUUCCUGACACUGAGGCACGAAGGCCAGGGGAGCAAACGGGAUUAGAUACCCGCGUAGU